UUACAUAGGAUCAAAGUUUGCUUGACGUUGUUAUCCAGACCUUAAGUCUCAACAUACUGGUCAUGCACAUUAGGUUGGAUUUAUGCCUUGAGCAGUCUUUGUUUCAAGGUCAUACCCGAAUUAUAUCAGUCAAGUUUGUGGAAAACCUUGAGUUUGGGAAGCCAUUUGUCAGAGGCCCUCGUUGGAAUGGUAGUUGCUAAUUUUGGACUUUGUUCCAAGAAGCUAGCUUUUGGUUCAGAAGACUGUAAUAAUGAACCAGCUGCGCAGCCUGGAACAAGCUCAGAGAAGAUCAAACCUUUGCUUUAGAAAACAUGGAAUCAGGUUUCAAAUAUGAUGGCCGUUGUCAAUUGUUUCAUUAAGUCAUGUAUAUUGUCAAUAGAUCAACACUCAACAGUCGAACAGGUUCUUCUUGUAUUUGACUUUUGGGUGUCUGACUUUCCAACGCCUGCCUGCCCAACAUCCCAAAUAAGGACAGCCUGCUUAUGGCAGCACAGCGUCUUCGGGGGCCAAGAAAGUGGGCCGACCGCCAUAGGUUAUUUUAUCAUUCACUAUCUUGGUUUCUAAUCUAGUCAUCUUACAUUUUGUCAAUCAAUGUGUUUAACUCAAU
This 607-nucleotide long non-coding RNA is filed under the name Theobroma cacao (cacao). RNAcentral's name for it is "long non-coding RNA (TCAC_LNC002158)". The record is from RNAcentral. Lineage: Eukaryota; Viridiplantae; Streptophyta; Magnoliopsida; Malvales; Malvaceae.